GUGAAGAGUAGAAGGUUUAGCCAGCCUGUAAAUGGAUUGUCUAAAUUUAAAAAGGAUGAAGAUCAUAGCGCUCCAGAAACAGUUAAGGGCUGGAGGGAGAGAGCGAGGCAGCCCAGCUCUUUCAAGGAGGGAAGGCCACUCACUUGGGCUGCACCUGCUGCCUACGGAGUGCUCCGCUAUUGAAGAGGCCUGCGGCCCGAUCUGCAUAUCAAAUAGCUGGCGUGUAGAUGAGGCCAUUCAUUCUGCCUUCUGUGUGUUUGUCCUGCUGGGGACGGGCUGUUGUUUAGCAGCAGGCCCUGGUUCCCUCAGGCUCCCUGAGUCAGCAGCCCCCCCUCACCCACACUGAAUUCAAAACCAGGAUUGAUCUUCACAGAGAAGUCUCUGGUGCAGUGCAAAAAGCUACAAGAUACGAACCAUGGCACUCCUGUUCAAGCAAAAUUUGAUGGUUUUCCUAAAGACAUGCCAUCUCUUUGCCUCUGCCCUUUGUUCUCCUCUAUUUCCCUUCAAAUGAUGAAGACCCAUUCUGUCUACCUCCAAGCUUUUUUCAUAUCAACCGUCCUAUUUAUACCCUUGAGUCAAUUGGAAUGGAAGAAAGGGUGGAGGUUAUUUUUUUCCACCUGUUCCAGGAACAUGUGUUCGGAGAAUGAAUUUUUCCCCUCAUUAAAUCACUUUGGCAAUUUUCCAGGAAUUCUUAUUUUAAUAUCAACUAAGGAAGUGCAUGGUUUCUAUCUGAAGGGUGGUACUUACUUUGCUGCAUAUGUAUUGGCAUGAAAUUGCCUACAGAGGGAUCACAGCUUGGGGCAAGCUUUGUGGAGGAUGAAGGUGAGUAAGAAUUUCCCUUUGCUAAACUGUAUUUCUUUCUAGUGAAGUUCCCAUCUCAAAAUGUGUCCUGACCAGCUGGGCAAGUCAAGCGAAAACAACCCCUCCUCCCUCGAAUCAAACAAAGCCUUCAACGUUAAUUUCUAGUUCCCAUUCCUCUCCCAGUAACCUUCACUCGGCCCUCUCCUCAUCGAAGGGUUUUAUGUGAAAACAAGAUUUCUUUCUCUGCGCCCAUUUACUCCCAGCAAGAGUCAAGAUGGGAGCUCGCUUCAAAAGGAGACAGGAAGAUUCUGAGAACUGAGAUUCAUGAAAUAAAUGUUUCUCUCCAUUCCAGGCAGGAAUUACACGCAAAUGCCUUUUAUGUUUCAGGGAAUCUAAAGGCAGAGAAAGGUAAUGGUUUCAAGGUGUACUCCCAAAGAUUAUGUGCUGUUAUCAGGCACCGCCGGCAAAUGUUCAUGGUAUUUAGAGAGGGACCACUGGGAGGAAAUGGGGAUUAGAUGCGGUUCUAGAGGUAAUGAACAUGGCAGUGUCUGUAGGUUUUAAGAAGAGCACUGGGGCUGGACAUGUGGCUCAGCUGGUAGAAUAUUCACUGCCCCCUUGUAAGAAACUCAGUUUGAACCCCAGUAAACCCAUAAUCCCAGAACCCAGGAAGUUCGAUCGGGAGAAAAAAAAUUCCAGGGCUAUCAUCCCUGGCUACCUAGACAAGCUUAGGAUUCAUGAGAUCCUGUCUCAAAGUAAAGAUAGUGUGCUUGCUCUGUCUUGCCACAUCCGGU
This 1592-nucleotide small RNA is filed under the name Rattus norvegicus (Norway rat). RNAcentral's name for it is "uncharacterized LOC108351214". The record is from RNAcentral. Lineage: Eukaryota; Metazoa; Chordata; Mammalia; Rodentia; Muridae.